Molecule: ribosomal RNA, 450 nt
Filed under: uncultured bacterium
Lineage: Bacteria
Description: partial 16S ribosomal RNA
Rfam family: Bacterial small subunit ribosomal RNA
Source: RNAcentral
GUGGGGAAUCUUCCGCAAUGGACGAAAGUCUGACGGAGCGACGCCGCGUGAGUGAAGAAGGCCUUCGGGUCGUAAAGCUCUGUCAUCAGGGACGAACGGCCGGUGGAGUGGAAAGCCACCGGAUUGACGGUACCUGAGAAGGAAGCCACGGCUAACUACGUGCCAGCAGCCGCGGUAAUACGUAGGUGGCAAGCGUUGUCCGGACUUAUUGGGCGUAAAGCGCGCGCAGGUGGGAUCUUAAGUCCAUUUUGAAAGUUCGGAGCUCAACUCCGUGAUGGGAUGGAAACUGGGAUUCUUGAGUACCGGAUAGGAAAGCGGAAUUCCCCGUGUAGCGGUGAAAUGCGUAGAUAUGGGGAGGAACACCAGUGGCGAAGGCGGCUUUCUAGACGGUGUCUGACACUGAGGCGCGAAAGCUAGGGGAGCGAACGGGAUUAGAAACCCCGGUAGUCC